RNAcentral lists this ribosomal RNA (743 nucleotides) under uncultured bacterium. RNAcentral's name for it is "bacterial SSU rRNA". It matches the Rfam family "Bacterial small subunit ribosomal RNA", at positions 94 to 823 of the family's 1533-position model. The record is from RNAcentral.
AGCGGCGGAUGGGUGAGUAACACGUGGGGAACCUGCCCCUAAGUCUGGGAUACCAUUUGGAAACAGGUGCUAAUACCGGAUAAUAAAGCAGAUCGCAUGAUCAGCUUUUGAAAGGCGGCGUAAGCUGUCGCUAAGGGAUGGCCCCGCGGUGCAUUAGCUAGUUGGUAAGGUAACGGCUUACCAAGGCGACGAUGCAUAGCCGAGUUGAGAGACUGAUCGGCCACAUUGGGACUGAGACACGGCCCAAACUCCUACGGGAGGCAGCAGUAGGGAAUCUUCCACAAUGGACGCAAGUCUGAUGGAGCAACGCCGCGUGAGUGAAGAAGGUUUUCGGAUCGUAAAGCUCUGUUGUUGGUGAAGAAGGAUAGAGGUAGGAACUGGCCUUUAUUUGACGGUAAUCAACCAGAAAGUCACGGCUAACUACGUGCCAGCAGCCGCGGUAAUACGUAGGUGGCAAGCGUUGUCCGGAUUUACUGGGCGUAAAGCGAGCGCAGGCGGAAAAAUAAGUCUAAUGUGAAAGCCCUCGGCUUAACCGAGGAACUGCAUCGGAAACUGUUUUUCUUGAGUGCAGAAGAGGAGAGUGGAACUCCAUGUGUGGCGGUGGAAUGCGUAGAUAUAUGGAAGAACACCAGUGGCGAAGGCGGCUCUCUGGUCUGCAACUGACGCUGAGGCUCGAAAGCAUGGGUAGCGAACAGGAUUAGAUACCCUGGUAGUCCAUGCCGUAAACGAUGAGUGCUAAGUGU